This 425-nucleotide ribosomal RNA is filed under the name uncultured bacterium. RNAcentral describes it as "bacterial SSU rRNA". It matches the Rfam family "Bacterial small subunit ribosomal RNA", at positions 354 to 796 of the family's 1533-position model. The record is from RNAcentral.
GUGGGGAAUCUUGCGCAAUGGGCGAAAGCCUGACGCAGCCAUGCCGCGUGAAUGAUGAAGGUCUUAGGAUUGUAAAAUUCUUUCACCGGGGACGAUAAUGACGGUACCCGGAGAAGAAGCCCCGGCUAACUUCGUGCCAGCAGCCGCGGUAAUACGAAGGGGGCUAGCGUUGCUCGGAAUUACUGGGCGUAAAGGGAGCGUAGGCGGAUAGUUCAGUCAGAGGUGAAAGCCCAGGGCUCAACCUUGGAAUUGCCUUUGAUACUGGCUGUCUUGAGUAUGGGAGAGGUUAGCGGAACUCCGAGUGUAGAGGUGAAAUUCGUAGAUAUUCGGAAGAACACCAGUGGCGAAGGCGGCUAACUGGCCCAUUACUGACGCUGAGGCUCGAAAGCGUGGGGAGCAAACAGGAUUAGAUACCCCGGUAGUCC